This 464-nucleotide ribosomal RNA is filed under the name uncultured bacterium. RNAcentral's name for it is "partial 16S ribosomal RNA". It matches the Rfam family "Bacterial small subunit ribosomal RNA", at positions 29 to 507 of the family's 1533-position model. The record is from RNAcentral.
ACGAACGCUGGCGGCGUGCUUAACACAUGCAAGUCGAACGGAAAGGCCCUGCUUGCAGGGUACUCGAGUGGCGAACGGGUGAGUAACACGUGGGUGAUCUGCCCUGCACUUCGGGAUAAGCCUGGGAAACUGGGUCUAAUACCGGAUAGGAGCCAUUUUUAGUGUGAUGGUUGGAAAGUUUUUUCGGUGUAGGAUGAGCUCGCGGCCUAUCAGCUUGUUGGUGGGGUAAUGGCCUACCAAGGCGGCGACGGGUAGCCGGCCUGAGAGGGUGGACGGCCACAUUGGGACUGAGAUACGGCCCAGACUCCUACGGGAGGCAGCAGUGGGGAAGAUUGCACAAUGGGCGCAAGCCUGAUGCAGCGACGCCGCGUGGGGGAUGACGGCCUUCGGGUUGGAAACUCCUUUCGCUAGGGACGAAGCUUUUUGUGACGGUACCUAGAGAAGAAGCACCGGCUAACUACGUG